GGCAGUUCUCAGGUGAUGCACCCCGGAACUGGGCUUCCUCCUUUUUGGUUCCAGGUGCAUCACCUGAAAACUGCA
Molecule: non-coding RNA, 75 nt
Organism: Myotis lucifugus (little brown bat)
Lineage: Eukaryota; Metazoa; Chordata; Mammalia; Chiroptera; Vespertilionidae
Source: Rfam